Manis pentadactyla (Chinese pangolin) is the source of this 1171-nucleotide long non-coding RNA. RefSeq lists it as uncharacterized. Lineage: Eukaryota; Metazoa; Chordata; Mammalia; Pholidota; Manidae. The record is from RefSeq and is a predicted model, not a curated record. The transcript has 3 exons.
UCUGGAUCAGAGGUCUUUGAACACAGGCUUCAUCACACCCUAGCUCCAUGACCCUGAACGUAUUACUUAACUUGCCUCUGCUUCAGUGAAUGCAUCUGUGAAGUGGGGAUGUGAAACGCAACUGCAGCAUUGGGGUGUUUGAAAAUCAAAUUAAUUACCAUUUGUGAAGACCUUGAAAGAGUGUCUUACACCUAAUAACUGGCAUCAGAAGAGAUAAGAUCCAGGGGCCAAGCCCAGGGUGUGGUUUCUGGGAGAAGUGAUAAAGCCUAGGCUACUUGGUGGGCUUCCAGUCUAUGCCUUAGAAUGAUGGGAGCGCUGAGUGCAGAGGGGAGAUCAGCGUGAAUGACUAUGUCAGCCACAAGGAAAUGACAGUUCCGACUGUCCUUGUCGGCAAGGACCAGAAAACACCACGUCCAGCCUGCUGGAGCCGUAGGAGAUGUGUUGGUUCACGGAACUGGAAAUCCAGGGUAGGGCCAGCUUCCAUAUUGACUCAGUCCUGUGGUUCUGGAUCCAUUUUCCCUGGCAGGCCUUUGACCCGGCUUUUCUCAAGACACUGGUUUCGCCUCUACCGCGGUAGAGAGAGAGUGACAACAUUUCGGAUUUUCCAUUCUGCACCCAACCCGGUCCAGUGAAGGAGAGCAGAAGUUUUCUCAGAAAAGCAAGACUGAACUUUGUCAGAGCCCUUGAUUUCAGUGUUCCCAAAUGGGCACAUACCCAUUUCUUAACUAAUCCAGCAGAAGGAACAGAUUUCUCCUAAGUCUGGGGAUCUCACAGGAAGGAUCCUGAAGGGGGAAGCAAUCGUGUUCCCAAUAGGCGUUCUGAGAAAAAGACAAGAAAACCUUCCAGGAAUUCCUGAAGGAGAGAAUUGCUGCACAUCACCAUAUAAAACAUUAGAUCUUGAAAAGCCUUCAGAGAUAACCUAUUCAAAUUCCUCAGUCUAUAAAAAAGGAACUCAAGACAAAAAAAAUUAAUAAAUAAAUGAGGUGAACGUCCCAAGACUCUGCAGCCGAAGGUGGCAGAGCUGUGACUCUAACUCAGGCAUUAUUAUUUCAGAUCCGUUGUGCUUCCACACCAGACUAUUUUUAUGCAUCUUAACUAAUAAAAACAAAAACAAAGCACAUAAUUCUGAUUGUUUUCUGAUUCCAGCAUCUGGUGGGCACCACAGCUUAUA